Molecule: ribosomal RNA, 852 nt
Filed under: uncultured anaerobic bacterium
Lineage: Bacteria
Description: bacterial SSU rRNA
Rfam family: Bacterial small subunit ribosomal RNA
Source: RNAcentral
ACGAACGCUGGCGGCGUGCCUAACACAUGCAAGUCUACUCAGCAAUGGGUGGCGAACGGGUGAGUAACGCGUAGACAAUCUGCCCUUUAUCACAGAUAACCUAGUGAAAACUGGACUAAAACGGGAUGUGGUCGCGAUAUGGCAUCAUAUGCGAUCAAAGACGUAGUCGUUAAAGGAGGAGUCUGCGUAACAUUAGCUAGUUGGUAAGGUAACGGCUUACCAAGGCGACGAUGUUUAGCUGGUCUGAGAGGAUGAUCAGCCACACUGGGACUGAGAUACGGCCCAGACUCCUACGGGAGGCAGCAGUGAGGAAUAUUGCACAAUGGGGGCAACCCUGAUGCAGCAACGCCGCGUGUACGAUGACACAGUUUAUCUGCGUAAAGUACUGUUAACCGGGACGAAAAGAUGCAUGGACUGCAUUUAUAUGACGGUACCGGUAGAGGAAGCUCCGGCUAACUCCGUGCCAGCAGCCGCGGUAAUACGGGGGGAGCUAGCGUUGUCCGGAUUUAUUGGGCGUAAAGGGCAUGUAGGUGGGACUUUAAGUCAGUUGUUAAAUAUUACGGCUUAACUGUAUUAUGCAAUUGAUACUGGAGUUCUUGAGUAUGAGAGGGGACAGAGGAAUACCUGGUGUAGCGGUGGAAUGCGUAGAUAUUAGGUAGAACACCUGAGGCGAAAGGCGUCUGUCUGGCCAUUACUGACACUGAAAUGCGAAAGUAUGGGGAGCAAACAGGAUUAGAUACCCUGGUAGUCCAUACUGUAAACGAUGGGUACUAGGUGUCGGGAGGACUAGCCCUCUCGGUGCCGCAGCUAACGCGUUAAGUACCCCGCCUGGGGAAUACGAUCGCAAGGUUG